UGAAAAUAUUCCAGAUAAUCUAAGAUGGAUCUGCGGUCUGAAAUUUUUUAUUUUGUGUUCAGUUGUUUUUGAUCACAGUGUAAUGUUUACAUUAUCUACUCCAACUGUAGCAGGACAAUAUAACAAUAUACCAGCAUUAUACGAAAAAAUCUACAACAGUUUUUUUAGCCAAUCACUCACUCAUUUAGAAACAUUUUUGUUUGUGAGCGGAUUUCUGACGUGCUACUUACGUAAGAAAAAGGGAAAUCGUUCAAAAAUGGAGUACAUUCUCUUCGUUUUCAAGAGAAUUAUCA
Molecule: long non-coding RNA, 293 nt
Organism: Centruroides sculpturatus (bark scorpion)
Lineage: Eukaryota; Metazoa; Arthropoda; Arachnida; Scorpiones; Buthidae
Exons: 3
Source: RefSeq, a predicted model, not a curated record